CCUACGGGUGGCAGCAGUUUCGAAUCAUUCACAAUGGGCGAAAGCCUGAUGGUGCGACGCCGCGUGAGGGAUGAAGGUCUUCGGAUUGUAAACCUCUGUCACUGGGGAAGAAACGCUUUGAGUUAAUAGUUCAAAGCCUGACUUAACCCGGAGAGGAAUCAGUGGCUAACUCUGUGCCAGCCGCCGCGGUAAUACAGAGACUGCAAGCGUUAUCCGGAUGGGCUGGGCGGCGAGGGUGCGCAGGCGGCCUGAAAUCCCGGAGCUUAACUCCGGAACUGCGCCUCAAACUACACGGCUAGAGCAUUGGAGAGGGAAGUGGAAUUCACGGUGUAGCAGUGAAAUGCGUAGAUAUCGUGAGGAACACCAGUGGCGAAGGCGACUUCCUGGACAAUUGCUGACGCUCAGGCACGAAAGCGUGGGGAGCAAAAGGGAUUAGAUACCCCUGUAGUC
Molecule: ribosomal RNA, 450 nt
Filed under: uncultured bacterium
Lineage: Bacteria
Description: partial 16S ribosomal RNA
Rfam family: Bacterial small subunit ribosomal RNA
Source: RNAcentral